RNAcentral lists this long non-coding RNA (1219 nucleotides) under Androctonus crassicauda. Lineage: Eukaryota; Metazoa; Arthropoda; Arachnida; Scorpiones; Buthidae. The record is from RNAcentral.
CUUUUCCGGCUUACAGAUUGGCAGGCUCCGUUAAAGCCCGGCCGAAAAAGUGAAAGCGAACCGAAAUGUGCGUUUUGGAAUAUCCAGUCGAAACAUUCGGAUAAGAAUGGACGGAAUCUUUAUAUUAAAACGCCAAAUGCCCCGCGGGGUAGACCGCCAUAAGAAUGUACGGGGCGAUGGAAUUUCGGCUGUACAAGCCGGGCCACCGGCUUAACUACGAAGUGCUUCCGCGGUAAAAGAUUCACCAGUCCAGUCGACACACAUUUAUUUCGACAAGUUCUUUUAAUAAGCGCGGUUGCUUUUCCGCGUCGUACAACUUUUACCGACAGAAAAUGGGCCGUUCCGAUGGGCGGCUGGCAGUCCCACCGCCCCCAAACUCCGGCCCAGCUGGGCGCCGGGAGUCGAAAGGGGCUGGCGAGUAGCUAGGUGGGGCCAGCCUCGGCCGUUUGCCCAGACCACACUCGGGUGGUAGACCGUACCAAAAGAUUUAAUACUGGCGGGUAGCGGCGGCUAGUCCGCCGCUGGGACUAGCUAGCUAGGAAAUUUCCGGCUAACCUAGACUACGCUAUAAAAGCCGCGGCUCCCCCCUUCCCCUCGGCCGCUGGGAAAGUGGAGGGGGCCGGGCCGCCCGUUUCGGUUACCUAGGUAAGGCUGGGCGGGGCGCGGUGCCGGACCGACCGCCCACCCAGCCCGUCUCCGGACCGGUUUUCCCGCGGGCCGUAGCCUAGGCGCCGGACUACUUGAGCCAAGUCGAAUGACGUCCCUGAGAAGGAAUUAACCUUUCAGCUAAGGUGUUGAGUUUUCCCCAGGCGGCCGCCAUGGGGGCAUAAAUCCAAGUCGGCGUAAAAUAACCCGGUUACUGGUCGGGCCUAUCUUGUUUUUCCGGAAAUCUAUCACAGACAGCGGCCAAAAUGGCCCGAAAGCGCUCCACCCCAGAAACGAACGCGUCUAAAAGAAAGGCCGACCCGGUGGUCGGGUCUUUAUUGCCGGAGUUCUCCACCGGCACCGGGCCGCUCCGCCCUACUACUUUGUACUUUGGUGACUUUUACUCCCGAAAUCUAGGGCGGGCGGAAAAUUCGGCCGGGUCGAUGUUUCCGCCCGCCCAUAAAACGGCCGACUGGUAGGCGCGUCCGUUGAUUGUCGUGGCCGAAAACCGAGCUAGGGCUGGGGGCCGAAACUUAACGGCGGUUGGACUCCGUCUCCACCCUAGGAUUAUUAA